GAAUUCAGAUGAACUUGAAUACUGUUUUUGUCUCUCAAAGAGCAUAGGAGUUAUAUUGUAGCAUUAUUGAAAUACAAUGUUAUACAUGCUAAUUGUUCCUGUGGACUUCCGGUAAUUGUGCUGUUAGCAAUAACACUAAUGCUAGUAAAUUUACUCAACGUUAUACAUGAGACUUUAAACUGGUACCCAAAAGUUCAUCUGACUUUGGGUUUUAGUGCCACCAUCCUAAAAUCCUUUCUGCCAGGAUCUACCAGAUUUAUUUUUUCAUGAAUCUCUCCUUUAGAUCCAAUCAGCCAUAUUACUAAAAUGUAACAUUAUUACAUUAUUGACAAUAUUUCACAUCACAUUGUCUUUCUGUGUUCACUACAGUACCUGUCUGACAGAUUUUAAGAAGUUAAUUCAAAUCACCAAAGUUUUAGCAUGGACCAAAGAUACACUUUAUAAGCUUUAGCAAGAGUAAACACAGACGUUAAAAUCUUACACCCCGUCUGAAUAAAGUUGAAUUUUGUAAUCUGACAAAACAUAAAAUGGCCACAUAAAAAUGUGCAUAUAUAGGUUUUAGUAUGAGCUCAGUCUAUUAUGAUCCCCACUCCCUUGUUCAUGGCUAUCUGGGACCCUUUGGGCGUCGCUAUUCUAAUCUAAGGGCUGCUUUGCCCUGUAAACCCCAUCGUGCCUGUACAGUUGGACAGCAGGCAUCAUGGUCAGCAGACAAACGCGGAUAAUAAAACUAAUGGGCCACACUUUGACCAUUUUGUGUUUCUACUUGGUUGACGUGGCGACCCCAAGGAUCCUGUUAUAACGGUCUUCACAGACCCCCCUCAUACUUCUAAGCCAGACUUGGAAGUCUUCCUCAGGAAGGAGCCAUCAUGACGUUAUGGCCCGGCCUUUUGCCCAUAGGACGCACAGCACCCUGGACAGCCCCUCACUUUUAUACUGCAGCUGCAGGCAGCUCCGCUCUCUCCCCGAGGCCCCUCCCUCUGUCUGUGUAACUAGGAAACAGAACUGAAUCCAACUAAAUGGGUUUACUUGGUAUUAUCUUUGUUUGUAUGCCGCAUGGUACCUUCUGUUUGUAACGCGUGUAUAGUCAAUUGCACUAUUGUUUGUUAAACUAACUUGGACGUGCAAUACUUAAACUAGAAAAUACUGUAAUAAAAAAAAAAAGCAGAACC
Esox lucius (northern pike) is the source of this 1169-nucleotide long non-coding RNA. NCBI's taxonomy places the organism in Eukaryota, Metazoa, Chordata, Actinopteri, Esociformes, Esocidae. The record is from Ensembl.